RNAcentral lists this ribosomal RNA (53 nucleotides) under uncultured bacterium. RNAcentral describes it as "partial 16S ribosomal RNA". The record is from RNAcentral.
AGAGUAAGAAGCAAUGACGGUAUCUGAGGAAUAAGCAUCGGCUAACUCUGUGC